UGCUUUGUGUUAAAGUCACAGCUACUUUUUUGAAAACAAAAAAUUGUAGGUGCAAGUAAUACAAAUAUUCACACCCAAAAUUCUACGAUGCAUCCUGCAACUACAACUGAUACAACUUUAUCAAAUCUUGUGACUGAUUCAUCAGUAACUUCUAGUGGUACAAUUUCCAAUUUCCUAAACCAUGUAAAUACGACUGACUCAUCUACAUCCAAUUUUAUGACAGUUACACCAUUAAUUUCUACUGGUGCGAGUAAAUCAAAUAUUCACACUCAAAAUUCUAUGAUGAAUCCUGCAACUACAACUGACACAAUUUUAUCAAAUUUUGUGACUGAUACAUCAGCAAUUUCUAGCGGUAAAAAUU
Aethina tumida (small hive beetle) is the source of this 361-nucleotide long non-coding RNA. RefSeq lists it as uncharacterized. The record is from RefSeq and is a predicted model, not a curated record. Lineage: Eukaryota; Metazoa; Arthropoda; Insecta; Coleoptera; Nitidulidae. The transcript is spliced from 3 exons.